GUGUCCACAUCCACUGCCGCCAUAUUAGAUCUCCUGCGCACUAUGUCCUGUGCAUCAAUUCUGCACCCUGUGUGUCUCCGCCACCAAAAAUCUUGAAGCCUGCAUCCUUCAAGAUAUCCUCCUCGAUUUCGAUACUACACAGCCUCCAUAUAGAUCUUAGAAUCCUGCAUCUGCCUGUAAUCCAACUGCACGUCUGUCCCACAACCGUCUGUAUCUGGCUGUGCCCCUACCAUAACUCCAUAGCUGCCUGUCUCCCCAGCUGUGCCUAUGCUGCAGUCCACAACCGCCUAUCUCCAUGGUCAUGUCUGUACUGCAGCUCCACAACCAUC
RNAcentral lists this long non-coding RNA (329 nucleotides) under Elaeis guineensis (African oil palm). Its description in RNAcentral is "long non-coding RNA (EGUI_LNC035784)". Lineage: Eukaryota; Viridiplantae; Streptophyta; Magnoliopsida; Arecales; Arecaceae. The record is from RNAcentral.